Molecule: ribosomal RNA, 485 nt
Filed under: uncultured bacterium
Lineage: Bacteria
Description: partial 16S ribosomal RNA
Rfam family: Bacterial small subunit ribosomal RNA
Source: RNAcentral
AUUGAACGCUGGCGGCAGGCCUAACACAUGCGAGUCGAGCGGAUGAAGGGAGCUUGCUCCUGGAUUCAGCGGCGGACGGGUGAGUAAUGCCUAGGAAUCUGCCUGGUAGUGGGGGAUAACGUCCGGAAACGGGCGCUAAUACCGCAUACGUCCUGAGGGAGAAAGUGGGGGAUCUUCGGACCUCACGCUAUCAGAUGAGCCUAGGUCGGAUUAGCUAGUUGGUGGGGUAAAGGCCUACCAAGGCGACGAUCCGUAACUGGUCUGAGAGGAUGAUCAGUCACACUGGAACUGAGACACGGUCCAGACUCCCACGGGAGGGAGCAGGGGGGAAUAUUGGACAAAGGGCGGAAGCCUGAACCAGCCAUGCCGCGGGUGUGAAGAAGGGCUUCGGAUUGGAAAGCACUUUAAGUUGGGAGGAAGGGCAGUAAGUUAAUACCUUGCUGUUUUGACGUUACCAACAGAAUAAGCACCGGCUAACUUCGUGC